UACAGAGGGUGCAAGUGUUGUUCGGAAUCAUUGGGCGUAAAGGGCGCGUAGGUGGUCAGGUCAGUCAGAUGUGAAAGCCCUGGGCUUAACCCAGGAACUGCAUUUGAUACUGCCUGACUUGAGUUCAGUAGAGGGUAGUGGAAUUCCCGGUGUAGAGGUGAAAUUCGUAGAGAUCGGGAGGAACACCAGUGGCGAGAGCGGCUACCUGGGCUGACACUGACACUGAGGCGCGAGAGCGUGGGGAGCAAAC
Molecule: ribosomal RNA, 250 nt
Filed under: uncultured bacterium
Lineage: Bacteria
Description: partial 16S ribosomal RNA
Rfam family: Bacterial small subunit ribosomal RNA
Source: RNAcentral